This 521-nucleotide ribosomal RNA is filed under the name uncultured bacterium. RNAcentral's name for it is "bacterial SSU rRNA". It matches the Rfam family "Bacterial small subunit ribosomal RNA", at positions 349 to 870 of the family's 1533-position model. The record is from RNAcentral.
CAGCAGUAAGGAAUAUUGGUCAAUGGGCGCAAGCCUGAACCAGCCAUGCCGCGUGCAGGAAGACGGCCCUAUGGGUUGUAAACUGCUUUUGUCAGGGAAUAAACCCCCGCUCGUGAGCGGGGCUGAAGGUACCUGAAGAAUAAGCAUCGGCUAACUCCGUGCCAGCAGCCGCGGUAAUACGGAGGAUGCAAGCGUUAUCCGGAUUCAUUGGGUUUAAAGGGUGCGCAGGCGGAUUGGUAAGUCAGGGGUGAAAUCCCACAGCUCAACUGUGGAACUGCCUUUGAUACUGUCAGUCUAGAGUAUAGUUGAAGUUGGCGGAAUGUGUCAUGUAGCGGUGAAAUGCUUAGAUAUGACACAGAACACCGAUCGCGAAGGCAGCUAGCUAAGCUAUAACUGACGCUCAUGCACGAAAGCGUGGGGAUCAAACAGGAUUAGAUACCCUGGUAGUCCACGCUGUAAACGAUGAUUACUCGAUGUUGGCGAUACACAGUCAGCGUCUGAGCGAAAGCAAUAAGUAAUCC